GAUGAACGCUGGCGGCGUGCCUAACACAUGCAAGUCGAACGGAGUCCAGCCUUUAAGACCUUCGGGUCAAUGACGGGUAGACUGAUUGGCUUAUGUGCGAGUAACACGUGGGCAACCUGGCUCAAUGCGGUGUAUACCCGAGAGAAAUUUCUUCUAAUACCGCAUAAUCACACACUGCUGCAUUGCCGAGGUGGAAAAGUGAAUCGCUAUCAGAUCGACCCGCGUCGGAUUAGCCAGUUGGCAGGGUAAGAGCCUACCAACGCGACGAUCACUAGCCGAUCUGAGAGGAUGAACGGCCACAUUGGGACUGAGACACGGCCCAAACUCCUACGGGAGGCAGCAGUGGGGAAUAUUGGACAAUGGGGGGAGGCCUGAUGCAGCGACGCCGCGUGAGUGAAGAAGGAUUUAGGUAUGUAAAGCUCUAUCAGCAAGGAAGAUAAUGACAGUAGCUGAAUAAGAAGCCCCGGCUAACUACGUG
Molecule: ribosomal RNA, 478 nt
Filed under: uncultured bacterium
Lineage: Bacteria
Description: partial 16S ribosomal RNA
Rfam family: Bacterial small subunit ribosomal RNA
Source: RNAcentral